Molecule: non-coding RNA, 841 nt
Filed under: Uroplatus lineatus
Lineage: Eukaryota; Metazoa; Chordata; Lepidosauria; Squamata; Gekkonidae
Source: RNAcentral
CAUCUUGGUCUUAGAUGUAAAAUUAUUUUUAGCUAGAAUAUACAUGCAAGCCUCCGCACCCCAGUGAGAACACCCUAUUAGAGCUAUAUCGCCUCUCAUUAGGAGUUGGUAUCAGGCACGGACUCCAGCCCAAAACACCUACUAUGCCACACCCCCACAGGGCCACCCAGCAGUAAAAAACACUAAGCAAUAAGAUCAUUACUUGACUUGGUUAUGGCUACCAACUAUUUAGGGCCGGUAAACCUCGUGCCAGCCGCCGCGGUUAUACGAGAGGCCCAAAAAAACCACUAACGGCACAAAACGUGACCAAAGCGUUAAUUACCAUCGACAGACACUAGAACUAAAACAAAGCUGUAAAAUGCCAUAUAUUUUUAGGAAUGGGCCACCCCCGUGUCAGUUAUUAAUUAAUCUUGCCUCACGAAAACUGGGACCCAAACUAGGAUUAGAUACCCUACUAUGCCCAGAUGUAAACAAAAAUGUGUGUAACACAUUUGCCAGAGUAUUACGAGCCGAUCGCUUAAAACUCAAAAGACUUGACAGCAUUUCAUAUCUAUCUAGAGGAGCCUGUCCUACAAUCGAUAACCCACGAUCGACCUCACCCACUUUCGCAAAACUCAGCCUAUAUACCUCCGUCGCCAGCUCGCCCGACAACAGAAACAAAGCGGGUAUAAUAGUCGCACACUAAAACGACAGGUCACGGUGUAGCUAAUAAGUCGGGCAGAGAUGGGCUACAUUUUCUAACUUAGAUCAUACCCACAACGCUAUGAAAUUUGCGUAACAAGGCGGAUUUAGUAGUAAAAUUGGCAAGACAAGCCAACCUGAAACAAGCCCUGAAAUGUGU